RNAcentral lists this ribosomal RNA (578 nucleotides) under uncultured bacterium. RNAcentral describes it as "partial 16S ribosomal RNA". It matches the Rfam family "Bacterial small subunit ribosomal RNA", at positions 355 to 920 of the family's 1533-position model. The record is from RNAcentral.
UGGGGAAUAUUGCACAAUGGGCGCAAGCCUGAUGCAGCCAUGCCGCGUGUGUGAAGAAGGCCUUCGGGUUGUAAAGCACUUUCAGCGAGGAGGAAGGUGGUGAGCUUAAUACGCUCAUCAAUUGACGUUACUCGCAGAAGAAGCACCGGCUAACUCCGUGCCAGCAGCCGCGGUAAUACGGAGGGUGCAAGCGUUAAUCGGAAUUACUGGGCGUAAAGCGCACGCAGGCGGUUUGUUAAGUCAGAUGUGAAAUCCCCGGGCUCAACCUGGGAACUGCAUUUGAAACUGGCAAGCUAGAGUCUCGUAGAGGGGGGUAGAAUUCCAGGUGUAGCGGUGAAAUGCGUAGAGAUCUGGAGGAAUACCGGUGGCGAAGGCGGCCCCCUGGACGAAGACUGACGCUCAGGUGCGAAAGCGUGGGGCAGCAAACAGGAUUAGAUACCCUGGUAGUCCAGCGCUGUAAAACGAUGUCGAUUUUGGAGGUUGUGCCCUUGAGGCGUGGCUUCCGGAGCUAACGCGUUAAAGUCGACCGCCUGGGGAGUACGGCCGCAAGGUUAAAACUCAAAUGAAUUGACGGGGUC